RNAcentral lists this ribosomal RNA (495 nucleotides) under uncultured bacterium. RNAcentral describes it as "partial 16S ribosomal RNA". It matches the Rfam family "Bacterial small subunit ribosomal RNA", at positions 30 to 507 of the family's 1533-position model. The record is from RNAcentral.
UGAACGCUGGCGGCGUGCCUACUACAUGCAAGUCGAGCGAACGGACGAGAAGCUUGCUUUUCUGAUGUUAGCGGCGGACGGGUGAGUAACACGUGGAUAACCUACCUAUAAGACUGGGAUAACUUCGGGAAACCGGAGCUAAUACCGGAUAAUAUUUUGAACCGCAUGGUUCAAAAGUGAAAGACGGUCUUGCUGUCACUUAUAGAUGGAUCCGCGCUGCAUUAGCUAGUUGGUAAGGUAACGGCUCACCAAGGCAACGAUGCAUAGCCGACCUGAGAGGGUGAUCGGCCACACUGGAACUGAGACACGGUCCAGACUCCUACGGGAGGCAGCAGUAGGGAAUCUUCCGCAAUGGGCGAAAGCCUGACGGAGCAACGCCGCGUGAGUGAUGAAGGUCUUCGGAUCGUAAAACUCUGUUAUUAGGGAAGAACAUAUGUGUAAGUAACUGUGCACAUCCUGACGGUACCUAAUCAGAAAGCCACGGCUAACUACGUG